RNAcentral lists this non-coding RNA (178 nucleotides) under Desulfobacteraceae bacterium IS3. RNAcentral describes it as "6S RNA". It matches the Rfam family "6S / SsrS RNA". Rfam says of the family: E. coli 6S RNA was the first non coding RNA to be sequenced, but its function was unknown until recently. It consists of 184 nucleotides that fold into an extended hairpin structure with a large single-stranded internal bulge. The 6S RNA specifically associates with RNA polymerase holoenzyme containing the sigma70 specificity factor. The record is from RNAcentral. RNAcentral also lists the same sequence under 1 other name. Lineage: Bacteria; Pseudomonadati; Thermodesulfobacteriota; Desulfobacteria; Desulfobacterales; Desulfobacteraceae.
CGCCCCCUGCUGUGUUCGUGAUUGGAUAGAAGCGCUUUGUACCAACGUUUAACAAUCAGGGGUCUUCCUUAGUUUCGGUGUGCAUGUUCUGCCUGUGCAGAAAAGCCUGAUGAAACUACAAGACCCUAUAAUAAAUACAGGUUUCAAAGACCUGCCGACACGGCAUGGCGGGGGACUC